Molecule: ribosomal RNA, 450 nt
Filed under: uncultured bacterium
Lineage: Bacteria
Description: bacterial SSU rRNA
Rfam family: Bacterial small subunit ribosomal RNA
Source: RNAcentral
GUGGGGAAUUUUGGACAAUGGGCGCAAGCCUGAUCCAGCCAUGCCGCGUGAGUGAAGAAGGCCUUCGGGUUGUAAAGCUCUUUCAGCCGGAAAGAAAUCGCACUGGUUAAUACCUUGUGUGGAUGACGGUACCGGAAGAAGAAGCACCGGCUAACUACGUGCCAGCAGCCGCGGUAAUACGUAGGGUGCGAGCGUUAAUCGGAAUUACUGGGCGUAAAGCGUGCGCAGGCGGUUUUGUAAGACAGACGUGAAAUCCCCGGGCUUAACCUGGGAACUGCGUUUGUGACUGCAAGGCUAGAGUACGGCAGAGGGGGGUAGAAUUCCACGUGUAGCAGUGAAAUGCGUAGAUAUGUGGAGGAAUACCGAUGGCGAAGGCAGCCCCCUGGGUCGAUACUGACGCUCAUGCACGAAAGCGUGGGGAGCAAACAGGAUUAGAUACCCGAGUAGUCC